RNAcentral lists this ribosomal RNA (162 nucleotides) under uncultured bacterium. RNAcentral's name for it is "partial 16S rRNA". It matches the Rfam family "Bacterial small subunit ribosomal RNA", at positions 358 to 511 of the family's 1533-position model. The record is from RNAcentral.
GGAAUCUUCGGCAAUGGGGGCAACCCUGACCGAGCAACGCCGCGUGAGUGAAGAAGGUUUUCGGAUCGUAAAGCUCUGUUGUAAGAGAAGAACGUGUGUGAGAGUGGAAAGUUCACACAGUGACGGUAACUUACCAGAAAGGGACGGCUAACUACGUGCCAA